ACAUUGACACCAACCACAAGCUCAUCAGGUACAACUUUGUUAUCUUUGGGGGAAUAGAUGGCUAUUCAAGGAAGAUUAUGUACUUGAAGAUAGCAGACAACAACCGGGCUGACACCCACUUGUGUUUCUUCAAUGAAGCUGUG
Molecule: long non-coding RNA, 143 nt
Organism: Trematomus bernacchii (emerald rockcod)
Lineage: Eukaryota; Metazoa; Chordata; Actinopteri; Perciformes; Nototheniidae
Exons: 3
Source: RefSeq, a predicted model, not a curated record